GAUGAACGCUGGCGGCGCGCCUAACACAUGCAAGUCGAACGGCACCUGCCCUCGGGCAGAAGCGAGUGGCGAACGGCUGAGUAACACGUGGAGAACCUGCCCCCUCCCCCGGGAUAGCCGCCCGAAAGGACGGGUAAUACCGGAUACCCCGGGGUGCCGCAUGGCACCCCGGCUAAAGCCCCGACGGGAGGGGAUGGCUCCGCGGCCCAUCAGGUAGACGGCGGGGUGACGGCCCACCGUGCCGACAACGGGUAGCCGGGUUGAGAGACCGACCGGCCAGAUUGGGACUGAGACACGGCCCAGACUCCUACGGGAGGCAGCAGUGGGGAAUCUUGCGCAAUGGGGGGAACCCUGACGCAGCGACGCCGCGUGCGGGACGGAGGCCUUCGGGUCGUAAACCGCUUUCAGCAGGGAAGAGUCAAGACUGUACCUGCAGAAGAAGCC
RNAcentral lists this ribosomal RNA (444 nucleotides) under uncultured bacterium. RNAcentral's name for it is "bacterial SSU rRNA". It matches the Rfam family "Bacterial small subunit ribosomal RNA", at positions 28 to 492 of the family's 1533-position model. The record is from RNAcentral.